CCUACGGGUGGCAGCAGUCGAGAAUCAUUCACAAUGGGGGAAACCCUGAUGGUGCGACGCCGCGUGGGGGAAUGAAGUUCUUCGGAUUGUAAACCCCUGUCAUGUGGGAGCAAAUUAAAAAGAUCGUACCCCAAGAGGCAGAGACUGCUAACUCUGUGCCAGCAGCCGCGGUAAUACAGAGGUCUCAAGCGUUGUUCGGAAUCACUGGGCGUAAAGCGUGCGUAGGCUGUUUCGUAAGUCGUGUGUGAAAGGCGCGGGCUCAACCCGCGGACGGCACAUGAUACUGCGAGACUAGAGUAAUGGAGGGGGAACCGGAAUUCUCGGUGUAGCAGUGAAAUGCGUAGAUAUCGAGAGGAACACUCGUGGCGAAGGCGGGUUCCUGGACAUUAACUGACGCUGAGGCACGAAGGCCAGGGGAGCGAAAGGGAUUAGAUACCCCAGUAGUC
This 446-nucleotide ribosomal RNA is filed under the name uncultured bacterium. RNAcentral describes it as "partial 16S ribosomal RNA". It matches the Rfam family "Bacterial small subunit ribosomal RNA", at positions 338 to 795 of the family's 1533-position model. The record is from RNAcentral.